UAUUUUGUUUUUAAAUUAUAUUUUUAAUAUGUAAAAAAAUGGAACGCCUAAAUUUCGUCGAAUUCUGUAUCGUGUUUGACCGAAUUUUGGCUAAGUAUGGUUAAAAAAAAGCGUCUGGGCGACCUUGGGGCGGCGACUGGAAAACCUACCACCCCACACCAAAUUUAUCGCCGGUUCACCCCAGACGGGGCUCUUUCAAAUCCUCGGGGCGAAGUGCUGGAGAUGCUCUAAUUUGUUUUCCUUCGUUUCGUUGGUUCAUCUCCGGCAUUUCAGUACUUCCACAUCGUCUCUCCUCACCCCCGCCUGCCACUGAAACUCACCCUUUUCCAGCUCAGGAAAAAAAAAACUCGCCCCUUUCCCUUCCUCUUCCUCGUCGGCCGGGGUCGGCGUCGCCUGCUGCCAUUCGCCGGAGACCCUCAUCGUCCUGGCCGCCUACAAGGCUCGCGUUGAGAUUGACAAGCUACCUUUUUUGGUCUAUUGCUUGUUCUUUGUUGUCUGGAAGUAGUAUAUCUCACUCCAUACUACUAUGAAUCUUGAUAAUAAGUGUCAGCAACAACAGCUAUCAGGCUCAAGUUCUGCAAGGCCGCGGACAUUUUGGACCAGCUAUCCAACUUGUGGCACCAAAUAUCAGUAUUACCAUUCAAUUUUGAAGAGAGCUGUCCACUGCCAGAAUUGCUCGAAGGCCUUUAUAGCACAUGCUUUAACUGAGCAACCUGUUCCUUUUGGUCCAGAUCAACAGUUUGCUGAGGUGUGGAUAAGUGCAGGAGUAUUUUCAGAAAUUAGAUUGCUUCAGAAGUUCGAACCUGGGCAGAUCUGGGCUCUCUACAGUGACAUAGAUAAGUUUCCCAAUUGCUAUGCCUUCAUAGAGAAAGUUGAUCUCGAGAAUAAUGAGGUACAUGCAAAAUGGCUUGAACUUUGUCCUGAUGGAGAGAUGGAGGAAAGAUUGGUAAUAGAUCGAACGGUUGGGUGUGGAACCUAUAGGGUUUCCACCACCCAUGGUAUUAUGAUUUACACCGACACGAAACCUUUUUCUCAUCCUGUACAUGCGAUAUUCACUGGUAGAAGGAACUCUUAUGAAAUAUAUCCUAGGAAAGGUGAAGUCUGGGCCCUUCUCAGGGGAUGGGAUAUUGGUUGGAGUCCAGAUGCUCACAACCAAAAGAACUACAAGUAUGAAGUUGUUCAGGUCCUCUCUGAUUUCACAACUGGCACUAGCAUCAUUGUGAUGCCACUUGUCAAGAUAAAAGUCUUUGUUAGCUUAUUUAUGCAGUCUGAAGUGGCUACUCCAUACCUGAUACCUCAGGAUGACACAAUAUGGUUUUCACAUUAUAUCCCCUACCGUUUGAUGGGUGCAACUGAAAGCAAAGGCAUUCAGGAAGGAGCUCUUGAACUUGAUCCUGCAGCGCUUCCCGUUAAUUUGGAACAGCCUCUCACAUGUCUCGUUUCAGAAAGCAUGUCAGUAAGAGGCUCGGAGUUUGAUGCCAAAUAUGCUGGUUCGUCUGGAGGAAAUAAAUCUCACAAGGAAUCCAAAGGGGCUGGGGAGAGACAGCAUGGUACAUGCAUGAAUGGAGGGAUCUUUGCAAAGGCACCAGUGGUAGAGAAUGGGGAGCAUUACACUCCCUCUGCUGUAGAAGGUACGGAUGUUGAUGAAGAAUCUGAUGAUGCUGGAGUAGAAGUAUUAUGUACUGAUUUUUUUAACUUCGACCAACUUCGAGAUGUAAGUCAGUUUAGACCCAACCAGAUCUGGGCUGUCUAUGAUACUCAAAGCUUUAUGCCAAGAUUUUAUGCUCGGAUUACAAAGGUACAAAUGACCCCAAAGUUUAAAGUACACUUUGUUUGGCUGGAAUUUGAUCCCACAAAUAAAGCAGAAGUGACAUGGUCACGUGGGGAACUGCCUAUUGCGUGUGGAUGUUUUAAUCAUGGAGCGUCAGACACAGCUAAAGAAACUAAUAUGUUCUCCCAGAUUAUUUCCUGUGUGAAAAGAAAAACAGGAAACUUGUAUGAGAUAUAUCCUAGGAAAGGUGAAGUUUGGGCCCUUUUCAAGGGAUGGGACAUUGGUUGGAGUUCGGAUGCUGACAAGCACACAGAUUUUGAGUAUGAAAUUGUUCAAGUUGUUUCUGAUUUCACGACAAGCACUAGCAUCAUUGUCAUGCUGCUUGUAAAAAUAGAAGGCUUUGUUAGCUUAUUUAAGCAAUCGAAAGAAGCAACUCCGUUAGUGAUACCUCAGGAUCACACGCUCAUGUUUUCACAUUGUGUCCCUCAUCAUUCAGUGAGGGGAACUGAAAGAGAAGGUAUUCCAGAAGGAGCUCUUGAACUUGAUCCUGCCGCGCUUCCCCCUAACAUGAAGAGGCUUUUGCUUCUGUUGUUCCAGAAAGCAGAUCAGUGGAAGGUCAGGACUUUGGCACCAAAUACAAUCAUUAUGCUGUAGAAGAUAGCAUUACACCGCUUGCAGACAAAUGUCUGCUGCAGGAGAUUCUAUCUGACUCGCCUGCCAUGGCAGUAAAUGAGCACCAGGAAGCUACAGUAUCAUUGGGUGCAACCACCAGAAAAAACAAUGAUAUGAAGUUUACCCACAUCACUUCUGCCAAUUGCGCUACCCUUCCUAUGAAACAUGGCUGUUCCUCUACUUCACAAAUCGUAUCCUCAAGGCGCAAAUUGUCUCAGAAUUCUUAUGUUGUUGAUUUGACUGAUAAUGCGACUAUGCAUGGACAUUUGAAGGAACAUACUUCUGCGAGACGUAAAAAGGCUAAAAUAGCAGACAAUGUUUCUUCACAGUUAAAACAUAAUGUCGAGUCAAGAGAUCUAACUGGAUACCAAGGUGAACAAUCUACACCUCCAUCAAGGAGAAGUACUAUUGAACAAGCAUGUGAAAAGAAUGAGGCUAUUCAAGAAAGAUGCGGAGGCCAGGAAUCUACUACUGUACCGGCCUUCUUGAAGCUGGCUCGAGAAAAGCUCAGUACUGCAGAGUACGGAGAGUUUGUUGGAUUUAUGAAGGCCUUAAAAUUGAAAACCAUGCACAUCAAAGACCCACUUGAGGCAAUAGCGAAACUGUUUUCUUCUCCAGGGCGACUCGCACUUCUUGAAGGGUUCGGGGUCUUUGUUUCUAAGAAUCAUCUUCCGUUAUAUGACCAGCUUGUUCGAAAAUAUACUCUGGCUAAUACAUAAUGACAUCAUCAGUUGCACUUACUUAAAGGCAUGAUUUGUCCGUACAAGUUCAGCUGUUAAGGAAGGUGGAUGGUUAAUUACAGGCAGUAUAUAGAAGAGAGGGAGCUGUGCAGAUGAUACUUAAGGAUGAGUGCCUAAAGUUCUCUCAUCAGAUUCCUUGCUUCCAUCUGACAAAUGGAAAGGGGGCUAGCUUCGAGGUUGUUUCGAGCUCGAUCCUUACUCAGUGCAUGAGAGGUUUCUCGCCACUGAUUCAAUGUGAGAUAACCCUGUUUAUGGUGAAUCUUUUGGAAGCCUCUUUUGGCGGUGGAACUACAAGUCUACAAGACGGAAGGUUCUGCAUAAGCUGAUGACACCGUAUUUCGAGCUGCCUGGAGUACUCAAUGUACCGGUGAUGUUAUUCUGCGUUCCUUUAGUCUCCUGCAGCUAGUGCCUCCUUUAGUCUCCUUUAGUCUGGUGUUUUUUUUUUUUCGUUUUGAGAAGCAGAGAAGGUGUAUGCUGUUGCGGAGCAGCAAACUGAAGUAAUGAGCCUGCAAAUGUUGAAUUCCCAGGGCUCUGCUUGCUUGUGCACUGCCUUCAUGGUGAUGGUAGAAAAACUUCCUUCUCCUAA
Molecule: RNA transcript, 3769 nt
Organism: Aegilops tauschii subsp. strangulata
Lineage: Eukaryota; Viridiplantae; Streptophyta; Magnoliopsida; Poales; Poaceae
Source: RefSeq, a predicted model, not a curated record